RNAcentral lists this unclassified non-coding RNA (319 nucleotides) under Hevea brasiliensis (rubber tree). The record is from RNAcentral. Lineage: Eukaryota; Viridiplantae; Streptophyta; Magnoliopsida; Malpighiales; Euphorbiaceae.
GGGACUGGCGGCGGCGGCGGCGCCGCCGCGGCUGCCAGCGGGGAGGGGCGACGCGGCCGUGGCCAGGAUGGCGAAGAGGGAGCAGGAGCUGGAGGAGAUUCGGGCCAUGCCGACGGAGAAGAUCGAGGAGGAAGUGGUGGACCUGAAGGGGGAGCUCUUCAUGCUCCGCCUCAAGCGCUCCGCGCGCCAGGAGUUCAAAUCCAGCGAGUUCGGCCGCAUGCGCAAGAGGAUUGCUCGUAUGCUGACUGUCAAAAGAGAACGGGAAAUUGAACAAGGAAUCAACAAGAGAUUGUCUAGGAAGCUUGACAGGAAAUGGAAG